GUAACAGGAAGAAGCUUGCUUCUUUGCUGACGAGUGGCGGACGGGUGAGUAAUGUCUGGGAAACUGCCUGAUGGAGGGGGAUAACUACUGGAAACGGUAGCUAAUACCGCAUAACGUCGCAAGACCAAAGAGGGGGACCUUCGGGCCUCUUGCCAUCGGAUGUGCCCAGAUGGGAUUAGCUAGUAGGUGGGGUAACGGCUCACCUAGGCGACGAUCCCUAGCUGGUCUGAGAGGAUGACCAGCCACACUGGAACUGAGACACGGUCCAGACUCCUACGGGAGGCAGCAGUGGGGAAUAUUGCACAAUGGGCGCAAGCCUGAUGCAGCCAUGCCGCGUGUAUGAAGAAGGCCUUAGGGUUGUAAAGUACUUUCAGCGGGGAGGAAGGGAGUAAAGUUAAUACCUUUGCUCAUUGACGUUACCCGCAGAAGAAGCACCGGCUAACUCCGUGCCAGCAGCCGCGGUAAUACGGAGGGUGCAAGCGUUAAUCGGAAUUACUGGGCGUAAAGCGCACGCAGGCGGUUUGUUAAGUCAGAUGUGAAAUCCCCGGGCUCAACCUGGGAACUGCAUCUGAUACUGGCAAGCUUGAGUCUCGUAGAGGGGGGUAGAAUUCCAGGUGUAGCGGUGAAAUGCGUAGAGAUCUGGAGGAAUACCGGUGGCGA
RNAcentral lists this ribosomal RNA (660 nucleotides) under uncultured Pseudomonadota bacterium. RNAcentral's name for it is "bacterial SSU rRNA". It matches the Rfam family "Bacterial small subunit ribosomal RNA", at positions 69 to 718 of the family's 1533-position model. The record is from RNAcentral. Lineage: Bacteria; Pseudomonadati; Pseudomonadota.